UGUAUAGUAACUCAAUUGGAUAGAGCAUUGGUUAUAACCAAUGGGUUGCGGGUUCGAGUCCCGCCUAUACAG
Molecule: transfer RNA, 72 nt
Filed under: Bacteroidia bacterium
Lineage: Bacteria; Pseudomonadati; Bacteroidota; Bacteroidia
Description: tRNA-OTHER
Rfam family: tRNA
About the family: Transfer RNA (tRNA) molecules are approximately 80 nucleotides in length.
Source: RNAcentral